Molecule: long non-coding RNA, 1026 nt
Organism: Colletes gigas
Lineage: Eukaryota; Metazoa; Arthropoda; Insecta; Hymenoptera; Colletidae
Exons: 3
Source: RefSeq, a predicted model, not a curated record
CUGGAAUUUAUGUCGGCGACGACGGAAUUACGAUAGGCAAAUCAGACAAUAUCAGGUUUCAUUCCUCCGCGAGUAGUCUUAUGACUUAAAUAUGCACUUUUCUUUUGCAGGAAACGACAUUUUUCUGCUUGAAGAGCCAGUCCGGCGUUUUGCUUCCUCGGAGGAAAAGAUAUCAAUGAUAGGGUUUUAGCACCUCGCCAAAGUGCCUCUCUCUUUUCAUUUGUUCGAUGCGAAACGCUCGCUAGGCGUAACCGGCUGAUAUCUUAACGUCCUACCGUCGCUUUUCAAAAUUGAAGAACUGCGUUUAUAAUAGAACUACCCGAUCCGAUUUUCGUUAAUUCUUGAUAGUCUACUAUUCUCGCAAAUUCUACAAAUAAAUUCGAAAGAAAGGCAUUCGUGGACCGGAUGAUCGGCUAAACGCGCGGUUUCGCAAUCAAUCUACACAUAUAACGGAGAGAGACAUGGGGCGACCAACUUUUCAGAGUAUAUCUCUUCUUUCGGGUUCCGUUCCUAUCGCGCCUCUCGUUCGUUUCGAGCCUCUUCAUAGAGGAUGAUCGUCCGAUUCUGUUGAUAAAUUAUCAUUUUUCCCUGGGGCCGUACGAACAGAGGAAGACGUCGAUCGACGGUUACCGCAAAUUUCACGUGGUUAAGUUGGGAGCCGGUGUCGACCAGAAAUUCAGCGGAGCCGCGGUGGAAGUGAUUGUGGGUCAAGGAGAUGGUUGGUAAUUGCGCGACACGAUUCAAACCUGUUUCGUAACAAAUGCAGUGGACUCGGCGCGAGGAAUCAGGGGUUCCCUCCAUAUCGCGCCCGUUGACGGGAUCCCCUUGGAGUUUAAAGGGGUUAGCGAGCACGGCCGCUGAAACCACCCGUCUCCGGCAUCCACCCUUGCCCUCAGGGAAACCGUGCAAAACCCAAGGGGGAGAGGUUGCACUUUCGCGUUGGUUACACUAUUAUAAACUGCUGUUUAUCAACGUCAGCUCACGAGUCUACGAAAAUCACAGUUCUACAAGUGCAGACUGUAUAUA